This 243-nucleotide ribosomal RNA is filed under the name uncultured bacterium. RNAcentral describes it as "partial 16S ribosomal RNA". It matches the Rfam family "Bacterial small subunit ribosomal RNA", at positions 109 to 354 of the family's 1533-position model. The record is from RNAcentral.
AGUACAACAUAGGAAAUCUGCCUUAGGGUGGGGGACAACAGAGGGAAACUUCUGCUAAUACCCCAUAUGAGCUUGGUUGAAAUAACCAAUCUUGAAAGUUCCGGCGCCCUAAGAUGAGCCUGUGCCUGAUUAGCUAGUUGGUGGUGUAAUGGACUACCAAGGCGACGAUCAGUAGCUGGUUUGAGAGGAUGAUCAGCCACAAUGGGACUGAGACACGGCCCAUACUCCUACGGAAGGCAGCAG